MicroRNA precursor from Fukomys damarensis (Damara mole-rat), 94 nucleotides. The record is from Ensembl. NCBI's taxonomy places the organism in Eukaryota, Metazoa, Chordata, Mammalia, Rodentia, Bathyergidae.
UCCAGGUCUGGGGCAUGAACCUGGCAUACAAUGUAGAUUUCUGUGUUUGUUUGGCAACAGCUACAUUGUCUGCUGGGUUUCAGGCUACCUGGAA